GGCUCCGGCGCGGGGAGCGUGUCCAGGGCGGGACUUAAAGCUUACAGGGACGCGGGCUGGACGGACUGGGGCGUGGCGGGUGUCAGCGAGUGACGUAUCCGGCGUGAGGGGCGUGGCUAUACGUAAGGGACGUGGACAAGAUGGCCGCGCACAGGAGACUCGUGUUCCCAUGCCAGGACAGCGGUUUGCGUUUAGGGAAACAUGGGUACGAUCUGCCGGCUUGUGGAGCGUGCACAGAGGAGGAACGUAAUCUGCCAGAAAGGAGAGGGAUCCCCUCGCGCGCGAACGUGCGUUGCGGUGGGUCCCGGAGCUGAGACAGCAUUUGGCCCCGCGAAUGGCCGCGGUCCGGCGGGCUUCUCUGAAAAAAGGAGGUGAUUAGUUUCCUUCAAGUUAUUUGGGAACUGAUCAAGAUUUCAAGCUACAGGUGAAGGUGACAAAGAGCCUGAGAGUCAUUUCAAGUGGAUCCAUCCAAGUCACUGUGGAGGAGAUUCCAGAUCCAGAGCUCCAUGCUGGAGACUGGGACCUAGCCUUGCACCCACUCUUGGAGAGCAUGGACCUGGUUCCGGAGGGCGAUCGCCAAUCACCCAUCAACAUCCGGUGGAGGGACAAUGUCUACGAUCCAGCCACCUGCCUCCACGUCUGGAAUAACAGGUAUUCUUUCCUCGUGGAAUUUGAAGAUUCUUCAGCUAAAUCAGGUGAAAGGCAGCCUGGUGGUCUCACCUCGGGUGAAAGGGAUGGUUGUAAUCAGCACAGACCAUGACACUGACCCCAUCAGCUCAUCUGUCUCCAGAACUCUUCUCCAUCUUGCAAACUAAAACUAUUUGGCCAUUAAACAGUAGUUCCCAAUUUCCCUCCCUGCCCCUUCCUUCCCCACACCCCCCUGCCAGGCUGUGGCAAUGAUCAUUUUACUUUCUGUCUCUAUGAAUUUGACUACUGGGUACCUCAUGUAAGUGGAAUCAUACAGUAUCUGUCCUUUUAUGACUGGGUGGUUUCAGUUAGCAUAAUACCCUCAAAGUUCAUCCAUGAAUGUCUUUCCUUCCUAAGACCAAUUAACAUCAUUGUAUGCACAGACCACUUUUUUUGAAUAAAAUUUAGCAGUCACUUGAAUUGCUACCACUUUCGGCUAUUGUGAAAAAUGCUACUAUGAGCAUGGAUGUACAUGUGUAUUUUCAACAUGCUGUUUUCAAUUCCUUUGGCUGUGUGCCCAGAAGCUGGAUCAUCAGUGUUCUUUUUGAUUGUAUGAAAAAUGUCCCUUCUCUUUUUAAUGCAUGUUUCCUUCUAGUAUGUUAGCAUUUUCUAUUAAUAUCUAUACUGUAUGUAUAGAUUCUGUAAUUGCUAAAGAAAAUAGGGCAUGUAAUUAAAGUUUUACCUGGAAAAUUUUUUGUUUGUGUUCAAUCUGUGCUAGUCUUCUGCUUGGUGACUUUAAAAAUGACUUCUGUACAAUAGUAGUAUUAUAUAGUCAGAUGUAAAUGAUAAACAUGGAAUAUAGAACAAAGGGAUAUUUCACUAAGAAAAAGACAUUUUAGGGUCUCCCUUGUGGUGCAAGGGGUUAAGACACAAUGUACGAAGCUGUCCGCAGCCACUGCAGCCAGAGUUUGAUCCUCAGCCAGGGAGCUACCCACAGGUACAGUAGAUGUCUCCUGUCUCCCCCGCUGCUCCCCUCAGCAGUGUAUUUCAGUACAUCUGCCUGUUCAGCUCCCCACUCUGUCUCUG
Molecule: long non-coding RNA, 1713 nt
Organism: Talpa occidentalis (Iberian mole)
Lineage: Eukaryota; Metazoa; Chordata; Mammalia; Eulipotyphla; Talpidae
Exons: 3
Source: RefSeq, a predicted model, not a curated record